CUCUGAGAGAAGGGCCCGGAGAUGGUACUGAGACACGACCCAGGCCCUAUGGGGCGCAGCAGGCGAGAAACCUUUGCAAUGGGCGAAAGCACGACAAGGUUAAUCCGAGUGUCUCCUGCUAAAGGAGUCUUUUGUCAGUUGUAGAAUCACUGGUGAAUAAGGGGUGGGCAAGUUCUGGUGUCAGCCGCCGCGGUAAAACCAGCACCUCGAGUGGUCAGGAGGUUUAUUGGGCCUAAAGCAUCCGUAGCCGGUUGCAUAAGUUUUCGGUUAAAUCUAUGCGCUUAACGUAUAGGCCGCCGAAAAUACUGUGCAGCUAGGGAGUGGGAGAGGUACACGGUACUCGAUAGGAAGGGGUAAAAUCCUUUGAUCUAUUGAAGACCACCUGUGGCGAAGGCGGUGUACCAGAACACGUUCGACGGUGAGGGAUGAAAGCUGGGGGAGCAAACCGGAUUAGAUACCCGGGUAGUCCCAGCUGUAAACGAUGCAGACUCGGUGAUGCAUUGGCUUGUGGCCAGUGCAGUGCCGCAGGGAAGCCGUUAAGUCUGCCGCCUGGGAAGUACGUACGCAAGUAUGAACUUAAGGAUUGGCGGGGGAGCACCACAAGGGUGAAGCCUGCGGUUCAAUUGGAGUCACGCC
RNAcentral lists this ribosomal RNA (636 nucleotides) under uncultured archaeon. RNAcentral describes it as "bacterial SSU rRNA". It matches the Rfam family "Archaeal small subunit ribosomal RNA", at positions 274 to 919 of the family's 1478-position model. The record is from RNAcentral.